This 91-nucleotide transfer RNA is filed under the name Alishewanella phage vB_AspM_Slicko01. RNAcentral's name for it is "tRNA-Ser". It matches the Rfam family "tRNA". From Rfam's summary of the family: Transfer RNA (tRNA) molecules are approximately 80 nucleotides in length. Their secondary structure includes four short double-helical elements and three loops (D, anti-codon, and T loops). Lineage: Duplodnaviria; Heunggongvirae; Uroviricota; Caudoviricetes. The record is from RNAcentral.
GGAAGGUUGGCAGAGUUGGUCUAUUGCGGUUGCCUGCUAAGCAACAGGGGCUUAAUGUCCCACAAAGGUUCGAAUCCUUUACCUUCCGCCA